This 601-nucleotide ribosomal RNA is filed under the name uncultured Pseudomonadota bacterium. RNAcentral describes it as "bacterial SSU rRNA". It matches the Rfam family "Bacterial small subunit ribosomal RNA", at positions 159 to 755 of the family's 1533-position model. Lineage: Bacteria; Pseudomonadati; Pseudomonadota. The record is from RNAcentral.
UACGCUAAUACCGCAUACGACCUACGGGUGAAAGCAGGGGAUCUUCGGACCCUGCGCGAUUGAAUGAGCCGAUGUCGGAUUAGCUAGUUGGCGGGGUAAAGGCCCACCAAGGCGACGAUCCGUAGCUGGUCUGAGAGGAUGAUCAGCCACACUGGAACUGAGACACGGUCCAGACUCCUACGGGAGGCAGCAGUGGGGAAUAUUGGACAAUGGGCGCAAGCCUGAUCCAGCCAUACCGCGUGGGUGAAGAAGGCCUUCGGGUUGUAAAGCCCUUUUGUUGGGAAAGAAAUCCAGCUGGCUAAUACCCGGUUGGGAUGACGGUACCCAAAGAAUAAGCACCGGCUAACUUCGUGCCAGCAGCCGCGGUAAUACGAAGGGUGCAAGCGUUACUCGGAAUUACUGGGCGUAAAGCGUGCGUAGGUGGUCGUUUAAGUCCGUUGUGAAAGCCCUGGGCUCAACCUGGGAACUGCAGUGGAUACUGGGCGACUAGAGUGUGGUAGAGGGUAGCGGAAUUCCUGGUGUAGCAGUGAAAUGCGUAGAGAUCAGGAGGAACAUCCAUGGCGAAGGCAGCUACCUGGACCAACACUGACACUGAGGCACG